UUAGGUGUCCCCAACACCCAUUGGUGUCACCUUUAGGUGUCCCCAACACCCAGUGAUGUCACUGUCACCCAUGGGUGUCCCCAACCCCUUCAGGUGUCACCUUUGGGUGUCACCGUCACCCAUGGGUGUCCUCAACCCCUUCAGGUGUCACCUUUAGGUGUCCCCAACAGCCAGUGGUGUCACCAUCACCCAUGGGUGUCACCAAGACCUUCAGCUGUCACCUUCGAGUGUCCCCAACACCCAUUGGUGUCACCGUCACCCAUGAGUGCCCCCAACAGCCUGUGGUGUCACCGUCACCCAUGC
Molecule: long non-coding RNA, 303 nt
Filed under: Chrysolophus pictus (golden pheasant)
Lineage: Eukaryota; Metazoa; Chordata; Aves; Galliformes; Phasianidae
Description: lncRNA (ENSCPIG00010014088.1)
Source: RNAcentral